This 425-nucleotide ribosomal RNA is filed under the name uncultured bacterium. RNAcentral describes it as "partial 16S ribosomal RNA". It matches the Rfam family "Bacterial small subunit ribosomal RNA", at positions 354 to 796 of the family's 1533-position model. The record is from RNAcentral.
GUGGGGAAUUUUGGACAAUGGGCGCAAGCCUGAUCCAGCCAUGCCGCGUGAGUGAUGAAGGCCUUCGGGUUGUAAAGCUCUUUAGUCCACGAAUAUAAUGACUGUAGUGGAAGAAUAAGCCCCGGCUAACUUCGUGCCAGCAGCCGCGGUAAUACGAAGGGGGCGAGCGUUAUUCGGAAUCACUGGGCGUAAAGCGUGCGUAGGCUGUUUUGUAAGUCAGAAGUGAAAGCCCAGGGCUUAACCCUGGAAUUGCUUUUGAAACUACAAGACUCGAAUUCGGGAGAGGAUAGCGGAAUUGUCAGUGUAGCAGUGAAAUGCGUAGAUAUUGACAGGAACACCAGUGGCGCAAGCGGCUAUCUGGACCGAUAUUGACGCUGAGGCACGAAAGCGUGGGGAGCAAACAGGAUUAGAUACCCCAGUAGUCC